GUAGGUGGCAAGCGUUGUCCGGAAUUAUUGGGCGUAAAGCGCGCGCAGGCGGUCCUUUAAGUCUGAUGUGAAAGCCCACGGCUCAACCGUGGAGGGUCAUUGGAAACUGGGGGACUUGAGUACAGAAGAGGAAAGCGGAAUUCCAAGUGUAGCGGUGAAAUGCGUAGAGAUUUGGAGGAACACCAGUGGCGAAGGCGGCUUUCUGGUCUGUAACUGACGCUGAGGCGCGAAAGCGUGGGGAGCAAACAGAAUUAGAUACCCUGGUAGUCCACGCCGUAAACGAUGAGUGCUAAGUGUUAGGGGGUUUCCCGCCCCCUUAGUGCUGCAGCUAACGCAUUAAGCACUCCGCCUGGGGAGUACGGCCGCAAGGCUG
RNAcentral lists this ribosomal RNA (373 nucleotides) under uncultured organism. Its description in RNAcentral is "partial 16S ribosomal RNA". It matches the Rfam family "Bacterial small subunit ribosomal RNA", at positions 527 to 896 of the family's 1533-position model. The record is from RNAcentral.